This 431-nucleotide ribosomal RNA is filed under the name uncultured bacterium. RNAcentral describes it as "bacterial SSU rRNA". It matches the Rfam family "Bacterial small subunit ribosomal RNA", at positions 34 to 462 of the family's 1533-position model. The record is from RNAcentral.
GAAUUCACUAGUGAUUCAGGCCUAACACAUGCAAGUCGAGCGGUAGAGAGAAGCUUGCUUCUCUUGAGAGCGGCGGACGGGUGAGUAAUGCCUAGGAAUCUGCCUGGUAGUGGGGGAUAACGUCCGGAAACGGACGCUAAUACCGCAUACGUCCUACGGGAGAAAGCAGGGGACCUUCGGGCCUUGCGCUAUCAGAUGAGCCUAGGUCGGAUUAGCUAGUUGGUGGGGUAAUGGCUCACCAAGGCGACGAUCCGUAACUGGUCUGAGAGGAUGAUCAGUCACACUGGAACUGAGACACGGUCCAGACUCCUACGGGAGGCAGCAGUGGGGAAUAUUGGACAAUGGGCGAAAGCCUGAUCCAGCAAGGCCGCGUGUGUGAAGAAGGUCUUCGGAUGUAAAUCAAGAGAGUUGGGAGGAAGGGCAGUAAAUUA